Molecule: ribosomal RNA, 253 nt
Filed under: uncultured bacterium
Lineage: Bacteria
Description: partial 16S ribosomal RNA
Rfam family: Bacterial small subunit ribosomal RNA
Source: RNAcentral
UACGGGGGGGGCAAGCGUUGUUCGGAGUUACUGGGCGUAAAGGGCUCGUAGGUGGCCAACUAAGUCAUACGUGAAAUCCCCGGGCUCAACCUGGGAACUGCAUUUGUGACUGCAAGGCUGGAGUACGGCAGAGGAGACUGGAAUUCCUGGUGUAGCAGUGAAAUGCGUAGAUAUCAGGAGGAACACCGAUGGCGAAGGCAGGUCUCUGGGCUGACACUGACGCUCAUGCACGAAAGCGUGGGGAGCAAACAGG